GACGAACGCUGGCGGCGUGCCUAAUACAUGCAAGUCGAACGCUGAAGAGAGGAGCUUGCUCUUCUUGGAUGAGUUGCGAACGGGUGAGUAACGCGUAGGUAACCUGCCUUGUAGCGGGGGAUAACUAUUGGAAACGAUAGCUAAUACCGCAUAACAAUGGAUGACACAUGUCAUUUAUUUGAAAGGGGCAAUUGCUCCACUACAAGAUGGACCUGCGUUGUAUUAGCUAGUAGGUGAGGUAACGGCUCACCUAGGCGACGAUACAUAGCCGACCUGAGAGGGGGAUCGGCCACACUGGGACUGAGACACGGCCCAGACUCCUACGGGAGGCAGCAGUAGGGAAUCUUCGGCAAUGGGGGCAACCCUGACCGAGCAACGCCGCGUGAGUGAAGAAGGUUUUCGGAUCGUAAAGCUCUGUUGUAAGUCAAGAACGAGUGUGAGAGUGGAAAGUUCACACUGUGACGGUAGCUUACCAGAAAGGGACGGCUAACUACGUG
RNAcentral lists this ribosomal RNA (497 nucleotides) under uncultured bacterium. RNAcentral's name for it is "partial 16S ribosomal RNA". It matches the Rfam family "Bacterial small subunit ribosomal RNA", at positions 28 to 507 of the family's 1533-position model. The record is from RNAcentral.